RNAcentral lists this ribosomal RNA (1514 nucleotides) under gut metagenome. RNAcentral describes it as "bacterial LSU rRNA". It matches the Rfam family "Bacterial large subunit ribosomal RNA", at positions 482 to 2009 of the family's 2925-position model. The record is from RNAcentral.
GACCGAUAGUGAACCAGUACUGUGAAGGAAAGGUGAAAAGUACCCCGAACAGGGGAGUGAAAUAGAACCUGAAACCGUUCGCCUACAAUCGGUCGGAGCCACUUUGUGUGGUGACGUCGUGCCUUUUGCAUAAUGAGCCUACGAGUUACUGAUCACUAGCGAGGUUAAGUGGCGAUAGUCACGGAGCCGAAGCGAAAGCGAGUCUGAAUAGGGCGUAUAGUUAGUGGUCGUAGACGCGAAACCUUGCGAUCUACCCUUGGCCAAGAUGAAGUUCGGGUAACACCGAAUGGAGGUCUGCACCGAUAAGCGUUGAAAAGCUUCCGGAUGAGCUGAGGGUAGGGGUGAAAGGCUAAUCAAGCUGGGAAAUAGCUCGUACUCCCCGAAAUGCUUUUAGGAGCAGCGUUUUAAUAGUCUACUGGAGGUAGAGCUACUGAUUGGAUGCGGGGGCUUCACCGCCUACCAAAUCCUGACAAACUCCGAAUGCCAGUAGAAUGAUUUAGAGCAGUGAGCGGCUGGGUGCUAAUGUCCGGCCACGAGAGAGGAACAACUCAGACCAGCAGCUAAGGCCCCGAAGAGUAUACUAAGUUGAACUAACGAUGUGCGACUGCAGCGACAGCUAGGAUGUUAGCUUGGAAGCAGCUAUUCAUUUAAAGAGUGCGUAACAGCUCACUAGUCGAGCGGUUGUGCGUGGAUAAUAAACGGGCAUCAAGUAUACCGCCGAAGCUCUGGGAUCUACGGAUCGGUAGGGGAGCAUUCCAUUCGCGUCGAAGUUGUAGCGUGAGCUAUGGUGGAGCGUAUGGAAAAGCAAAUGUAGGCAUAAGUAACGAUAAGGCGGGCGAGAAACCCGCCCACCGCAAGACCAAGGUUUCCUGAUCAACGUUAAUCGGAUCAGGGUUAGUCGGGACCUAAGGAUAAGCCGAAAGGUGAUUUCGAUGGACAAUCGGUUAAUAUUCCGAUACUGAUAUGGACUGCGACGGAGAGACGAAGGGGCGUAAGCCACGCCAACUGACGGAAUAGUUGGUUAAAGGAUGUAGGUAAAUCGGGAGGUUAAGAGCUUUCUGAUGCUGAAAUCCGACAGUACCGCGAGCCUACGGGUGAGCGGAUAGUUGGCCCAAGCGGACUUCCGAGAAAAACUUCUAAGCUUCAGGUUCAUAUCACCCGUACCGUAAACCGACACAGGUGGUCGAGGAGAGUAUCCUAAGGUGCUCGAGUGAUUCACGGUUAAGGAACUAGGCAAAUUAACCCCGUAACUUCGGAAUAAGGGGUCCCAUUGAGAGAUGGGCGCAGCGAAGAGGUCCAGGCGACUGUUUAGCAAAAACACAGGGCUCUGCAAAUUCGAAAGAAGACGUAUAGGGCCUGACACCUGCCCGGUGCUGGAAGGUUAAGAGGGGAUGUCAUCGCAAGAGAAGCAUUGAAUCGAAGCCCCAGUAAACGGCGGCCGUAACUAUAACGGUCCUAAGGUAGCGAAAUUCCUUGUCGGGUAAGUUCCGACCUGCACGAAUGGUGUAACGAUC